Podarcis lilfordi (Lilford's wall lizard) is the source of this 69-nucleotide non-coding RNA. The record is from the annotation of a GenBank genome assembly. Lineage: Eukaryota; Metazoa; Chordata; Lepidosauria; Squamata; Lacertidae.
GAUAGCUCAGUUGGUUAGAGCAUAGUGCUAUUAACGCCAAGGUUGCAGGUUCGAUUCCUGUAUGGAACA